This 747-nucleotide long non-coding RNA is filed under the name Homo sapiens (human). RNAcentral describes it as "HSALNT0368222". The record is from RNAcentral. Lineage: Eukaryota; Metazoa; Chordata; Mammalia; Primates; Hominidae.
GGACGGUGCAGGCUAAGUGAGCUGGCUAGGAGUUCGGGUGCCUGGCUUCUCUCCCUGGCACUCAGACCUGCACCCAUCCCCCACAUCUCACUCCCAGCUGGAGCCUGAUGGGGUAACAGCAGCACCCACUUCCCAAUUUUCCACAUUCUUUCCUGCCCACUCAGCCUGACAGCCUUGACCAGGGUCAGAAUUCCACAGCAAACAUCUCAGUCCCUUCCCACAGGAACACUGAGGUCCCUGGCACACCCCACGCCCUGCCCUCCAAGCACUGGACUCAGGAACAGCAACGGGAGGAAGUUGGAUGAAGAAAGCCUUUGCCCCCACCUCUACACCCCCGCCCCAGCCCUGUCCUGGGUGUGAGCAGACACGAUGAUGCUGGGGGCACAGCCCUUCCCGGCACCAAAUCACUCUACACCCUCACACCACAGGAACUUGAGCCCAAAGGCCAAACGGAAGGUCAUCAGCCUUCGGCCCUGAUCCCUCGGCUCUGACCGCUUGGAUUUUUUUCCACGGAUGUUUAUUCCAGCUGACCCUCUAAGCCCAUCCCCCCUCAGGUUCAGGCCAGGAAAGCUGAGCCCAGCUGGCUGAGGAGCUGCUGCCGGCAUCUGGAAGACUGCUCCCCACAGCAAGAAGAUCUGCCGCUCCUGCUCCGUGGCCAGGGCUACCACAUGCACCUUGACCGUCCACACUUCCCAUGGGAUGCACUCGUCUGAGAAUGGCCAGCGAGACUUCUUCUUCUGGUAGAAC